Molecule: ribosomal RNA, 270 nt
Filed under: uncultured bacterium
Lineage: Bacteria
Description: partial 16S ribosomal RNA
Rfam family: Bacterial small subunit ribosomal RNA
Source: RNAcentral
UCCUACGGGAGGCAGCAGUGAGGAAUAUUGGUCAAUGGGCGAGAGCCUGAACCAGCCAAGUCGCGUGAGGGAGUACUGCCCUAUGGGUUGUAAACCUCUUUUGUCGGGGAGCAAAAGCCGGACGUGUCCGGCUGUGAGAGUACCCGAAGAAAAAGCAUCGGCUAACUCCGUGCCAGCAGCCGCGGUAAUACGGAGGAUGCGAGCGUUGUCCGGAUUUAUUGGGUUUAAAGGGUGCGCAGGCGGAUUUUUAAGUCUGCGGUCAAAUCGUGG